This is a long non-coding RNA of Bos taurus (domestic cattle), 9735 nucleotides long. NCBI's taxonomy places the organism in Eukaryota, Metazoa, Chordata, Mammalia, Artiodactyla, Bovidae. The record is from Ensembl.
UGUGCACCCCGGAGGACGCGGCGCCGGCCCACCGCGGCCGGGCUGACCUGCCCGCCUCCUGCCCGCGCCCCGCCGGAUCGCCCCGGCCGGACCCCAUAGGCCGCCCCCGCCGCCCCGGGGACCCGCCGGAGCUCCGGGACGCGGCGGCACCCGGGCCACCCAAGGGCAGGGCCGGGAAGGCGCCCCUGGCGGGGAUGGAUUGGCCGUCGCCGCCGCCGGAUCCGCUCGGCACGGCCACCUCCCCCGGGGCCCUCGGGCGCGCCCGCCCCGGCGAGGCCGACACAAAGGGGCCGCGCGUCACCCACCUGAUCCCGCGCGUCCGGGGCCCGAGGGGUGGGGGCCGCCGCUCCUGCUCGGCCGCGGGCGGGGCUCCGAGCACCGAGGUCCGCGGUCCGAGGCUGGCUGUCCGCGCCGCCCCGCGCGGAGCCGCCCUUUAUUCCCGCCCGCCCUCCAGCCGGGGCGCGCGGCCCGCGGGGGGAGACUGGGCGGCGGCGCCGCGCGGCACAAAGACGCGGGGCGCACGGGCUCGGCCCCCGCCCCGCCCGGCGCGCAGCGCCCCCUGCCGCCCGCGCGAGGCCCGCGGGGACCCAGGCUCCGCCAGGACCUCCCGGACCCCAAGCUGCCCGGAGGAACGCCGCGGCCUCGGUUAGGUGGCAGCCAGAAGACGAGGGCCCUGAUGUCGACGCUCGGGGGCACAAAGACCGGCAAGCUGGGAGAGGAAUGGGGGACCCAAAACAGUCUUAGCGCGGCGAUAGAAAGAGAACCGGCCGGGCCGCUUCGGACCAGAUCCGGGCUCCCGGAACCCGGGCUCCAUGCCCUGGCGGUGGGGACCGUGCCUAAAGGCUGAGGGCCUUUCUAAGCUAGCAUCUCAUCAACGCGCCAAAGGUCUUUGCCUCCCCGUACCUGACGUGCUGGACGGAUGGAGCCCCAGGCUCGUCUGGUCCUUCGGCUCUGUGGAUUCCCGAGUUCCAGUUCUGGGCUGUUGACUUCCUCUGCCUUACGGUUUCGAGCUUGUUAGAGCCAAAGGUAUUUGAAGGUAUAAUUUUCCUGUAAGAUUUCUCCUUGCCACUCCCCCUAAUAACUAGAAGUUACACAGGUAUUUAAUUCUGUCUCCAGCAUGCGUACCUGAACAAGAUGGGUAUGAAAGAAUGCCCCCUUCAAUACAUAGAUUCUUCUCCCGAAGUAUGGGAAAACCCACCCUCACCGCUUUCGUCCUUAACACCACACCCUCCAGUGUUGACUCUGCAGUCUAGUACCAUCACCUAAUGGGUCCAGUGACCUUAACUGAGCAAGUUAGUUAACUUCUUUGUGUUUUGAUUUUCUUAUCUGAAAACUACUAAUGGUCAUAGAGGUCAUAGAGAUCUUGUCAGGGAUUAAAUAAGGAAAAUAAGCAAAGAGCAAUCUCAACAUAACUGGAAAAUUUUAAGGAUUUCAUAAUCCUUAGCUGUAUUUUGUCUCAUUUCCCCCCAAACUACAAUACUAGCUAUCGUGACACUGCAUAAUUUAUCUUCCCCUACUACAUACACAUCUUUAAAAAUAAUAAUAAUAAUAAAUCUGUCUCAUCUACACUGAGAAGUUAUUCUGGUAACUUCUUAAAUAUGAAUUCCUCCCAAAUAUGAAUGAGCGCUUCUGAUGUCUCUGUCAAAUUCUUUGUAUAAAUGUCAUCAUUCAAGAAAGAAGGCACAAUGGGAAGAAUUCUAACGACACUUGGUUACCCCAGCCUCUCACCAGAAGAUGAAAAUGGUUCUGCAUAAAGGCCUGAGCUUCACAGAAAAUAUAUUCGGCCCUUCUGUACAGGGGUUGUGGAGCCAGGAAAGCACUGUGCGAUACUGCUUAUGAAUGAAGGGAUGGAUGGAUGAGAGCAAGUAUCCGGGGAAGUGAUGAAUGUGUCCACACGGAUGCAGAUGCUUCUGUAGAUUACCAGGGGCGUGGGAAUCAAGCCUGGGGGAGGGGGAAGGGGGGAGGUUGGCAAGGAGAGGGUUGAUGUACAAAACCAACCUCUUAUCCAGUUGUGUCAUUGAGCCUUUGUGUCUCUUGCAAGUGCUUAAGCAGUGAUGUGACUGUGUGUGACUGUGUGUGUGAGGUCAUUCCCAUGUUUGUUUGUCUUUGUUAACCUGCUUGUUGUUGGGGCGACGGGGAAAGACGACAUCAUCAUUGAUAACACAGUUUGCAGCAGGCCAUGCCCUGAAUUUCAUGUCUCAAGACUUUUCUCUAUGAAGUCUUCCUAACCCAUCACUGCUCCCCAUCUCCAGAUGUCUGGAGUUGUGUAAAUAGUUCAUUUGUCUCCAUGGCAUCUGUUAGACUUCAUGUUUUGGAUAUUUACUGUCUGAUUAUUAGGUCAUAAGAGUCUGUAGAUGAGAAAUGAAGUAAAUUUUCUAUUGAGUUUCCAGAGGGUCUUGGGCAUAGUAAGUGCUCAGUAAAUGUAGAUGAGUCCUCUGCCCUGAGCUGUGUCCUUCCUAGUUCUCUCCAAUGAGCUGCCUGCAUCUCUCAAGGUCACAUCCACCCAUCACUGAUUGAUUUUCAGUCCAUUCCUCUCAUGGCUGUCAACCGUCUCACCCAGACGUUUGUUGUGUCAAGCUCAUUUUUAAAAAUACCCACUGUUGCUAAGCGCUUGUGCCUGUAGGCAACAUGACUCAUCGUUCUGAAGAAGCCCCUUGUUGAUUAUCUACUGAGGGCAAGGUUUUGUGCUAGGUUGUUGCCAGGGAAUCAAUGCCCCAGCAAAUGGUCCAGAGGCUGGAGAAAUGGAAGUCCAUCAGGAAGUUCCUUCUCUAGCUACAAAACUGAGUGAAGAUCAAGAUUCAUUCGGUGGCUUAAGUUUAAACCUUUUCAGGCAGUGGAGUUUGCAUGGGUUCAUAAUCACACAUUCUGAAAGUCCAAAACAUUCACAUUUCUUUAAUUUUUAAAAUUGCCUUAAAUUCAGUUCCUUAUUUCUGGAGAGAAGCAGGCAAUUAAAUGUCAACUAUUGCUCUGAUUGUCUCUCCCUGGAGGCCCACAGGUCCCUGGGGGUUUUACGGUGUUGGGAUCCAGGGUGUAACCCUUCAUGCUCAGCCCAUCUCCCUAUAUAUCUAGCAGCUCCUUCCCUGAGUCCUGGGUCCCUUCCAAGCAGGCUACGCUCAGUUUCUCUUCCAGGGGCCCAGCUUCCCAGGUGGGCUAGAAAGCUGCAAGUUUCCUCACCUCUCAGAGUGAUGCAAAGUCUCUGCUGCUCUCAGGGACUCUUGGGAAAGCUUUUCUUGUCCAACCCCUGCCUCCAUUCCCACAAACACCUCCCCUCUUUCUUUCCCAGCCUUGUUGUUGUUCAGUUGCUAAGUCGAGUCUGACUCUUUGUGAUUCUAUGGACUGCAGCAUGCCAGGUUUCCCUGUCCUUCACUGUCUCCCGAAGUCUGCUGUAACAUAUCCAUUGAGUCGGUGAUGCCAUCCAACAAUCUCAUCCUCCACUGCCCCCUUCUCCUCCUGCCCUCAGCCUUUCAUAGGACUUCGCUGGUGGGCUCAGAUGGUAAAGAAUCUGCCCACAAUUCUUAAGGAAGAAAAAAUAAAAUUUAGGAAAGAUAACACAUGGAAAGGGGGAAAUUCAUCCUUAUAAACACGUAGAAAGAGCGCUGCUAGGGGUGAAUUGGGCUUCCCUCAUAGCUCAUUCAGUAAAGAAUCCACCUGCAGUGCAUGAGACCCUGGUUCAAUUCCUAGGUUGGGAAGAUCCCCUGGAGAAGGGAUAGGCUACCCACUCCAGUAUUCUUGGGCUUCCCUGGUGGCUCAGCUGGUUCUUUACCAACUCAGCUAUGAGGGAAGCCCUAAGUCAUGUCCAACUCUUUACGACCCCAUGGACUGUAGCCCACCAGGUUCCUCUGUCCAUGGGGAUUCUCCAGGCAAGAAUACUGGAGUGGGUUGCCAUUUCCUCCUCCAGGGGAUCUUCCCCACCCAGGGAUCAAACCUACGUCUCCUGCGUUGAUAGGCAGCUUCUGGACCCACUGAGCUGUCGAGUCACAGUCACUCUCCUGGGUCUUAGGGAAAGUCAAAACGCAGUGUCAGGGAAGGAAAGUAAGUCAUCAAGUCUUAGAUGAACCUCUGUUUGAAGCAAAUGGCCAGCUGUCGGUGAACAUGAAAACCUGAAAGGAACUGAGGAUCAGAGAGGCAGAAGGCAACAUUAGGAGGAGCUCCUUUAUCUGGGGUGUGACCAUGUGCUGUAACGUCUUUUUUUUUGUUGUGUAAGUCACUCAGUUGUGUCCACAUGUCCAUUCUGUUUGUGACCCCAUGGACUAUACAGUCCAUUGAAUUCUCCAGGCCAGAAUACUGGAGUGGGUAGCCUUUCCCUUCUCCAGGGGAUCUUCCCAACCCAGGGAUUGAACCCAGGUCUCCUGCAUGGCAGGCAGAUUCUUUGCCAGCUGAACCACCAGGAAAGCCAUCUGUAAAGUCUUACAGGUCAUUAAAAUAUAGGCUGAGGGUGCACGGAAUGGCUGCUCCGCCCUCUACUCCCCACUCUCCCUGGGAACCCCUUGGAGAGCAUCCUGCCAGCAAACACCAGGUGUCAGAUCUGCUUCCCUGGGGGGCUGACCCCUGGACACAGGGCCGUGCGGGAGGAGCCCAGCACAGCCACACCGACGGAGCCAGGGCUCAUCAGGAGGUUCAUCUGGUUUGGUGAGGACUGGAAAUGAGGGUGGAAGUGGGUCCCGGGAGCCAGGAUCCACGGGGCCUUGGGUACCACCUGUGGAUGGACAGUUCUGGGGAACCUGGGAGUAAGAAUAGAACUGGUGGGAGGUGGGAAGGCCCCUAUGGUGGAGGGUGAUUGCCAGGGCGCCCAGUCAUGUGAUUGGAGCGUUAGAACUUUCAGUCCCAACCUCAGACCUCCAGAAGGGGCAGUACAAUCACCAGUGACCAGUAAUGUCACUGGUGAGAGACCUUUGGAGACUUUUGUUUGUUUGCUUCUAAGAACCAUUUCGGAGAAGGCAAUGGCAACCCACUCCAGUACUCUUGCCUGGAAAAUCCCAUGGACAGAGGGGCCUGGUAGGCUGCAGUCCAUGGGGUCGUGGGGUCGCACAGAGUCGGACAUGACCGAGGGACUUCACUUUCACUUUUCACUUUCAUGCACUGGAGAAGGAAAUGGAAACCCACUCCAGUGUUCUUGCCUGGAGAAUCCCAGGGACGGAGAGCCUGGUGAGCUGCUGUCUAUGGGGUCGCACAGAGUCGGACACGACUGAAGCGACUUAGCAGCAGCAGCAGCAAGAACCAUUUGACUUCUUUGUGCGUGCAUGCUUAGUCGCUCAGUCGUGCCUGACUCUUUGUGACCCCAUGGACUCUCUGUAGCCCACCAGGCUCUUCUGUCCAUGGGAUUCUCCAGGCAAGGAUACUGGAGUGGGUUGUCUUGCCCUCCUCUCCAGGGGAUCUUCCCGACCCAGGAUCAAACCCAUGUUUCCUGCAUUGGCAGGUGGGUUCUUUACCACUGUGCAUCCUGAAAAGCCCUGACCUCCUCGUAUUUAACUCUUACUCUGCUAUGAUUUUUAAAGCUACUUUAUUUUAAGGAGCUUAUUCAAUCCCGUGAAGUGCUCUAUCCCUGGACAGUCUGGGGUCCUCUUCUAAUAUUUUGGAACUCGGUUCCCGGCUGUUGCUUUGGUGUCUCCUCCAUGACUCCGUCUGGAUCAGGGUGGGUGCCUGACCUGAGCUCUCAAACUCCCCGCACUCUCCAUGUCUGUGGCCCUGGCACCAGGACUGAUCGCCAAGUUAGGAUGGAAGAACUCAGCUUCCUUCUCCCUCUUCUGCCCUCUGGCAUGUGUAUGAAGAUCUGUAUCAAUUCUCUAUCUCCCCUUUUCCUUCCUCUCCCAUGUCAUAUGUGUUGAUGAAUGUUAGAUAUCAGGCUGUAUUUCUGAGAAUCUCGUGUUAUCACAGGAUCUCGGGGUAAGGCCUUGUCUCAUUUCCCCGAAAGAAGACACACAAUCACAACAUCUUAUCAAGAGAAGGUGCCACAGACUCCAGCAAACAAGCACACACCAACCGAGCAAAACCCAAAGAUGCAGAGUCGGGGUCUCCUGGGAGUGGAGAGGCAUGGGGAGCAGCCCCUCUCAGAGCCUGGAGCCCUGGGCACCCUCCCCAGUGUUACUGACUGGCAGUCUCUCUGCCACGUGAGGGCAGGCCAGCAGGAACUCAUUACCUGGAGCUGGCUCAGCUGUCACCUUGAUCUUGGGCUUCCAGCCUUCAGAAAUGAAUGCCUGUUGUUUGCGGGGCCCCCAGUCAGUGGUGAAUUAAUAAGGCCACCAGAGCUGACAUGCCACAGGUCAGGGCGGUGCAGACAAGACUGCAGUCAAGUGACAUCUGAGUUAUGCUGGAAGGAGUGACAAGGUGUAUUUUUUACCUUGUAAAAAUACACAGCUCCCCCUUCACGCACACACAUACACACACACACACACACACACACACACACAUGUCUUGUAACAUCUUAUGGGAAGGAGUUCUAGCAAAGUUCACUACAAAGCAAACCCCAAGAAAGAAUUGACUAGUAGAGGCCAGUCUACUCAGACACAGAACAAAUGGGGAUUCAAGGUGAGAUAUUAUGCUUUAUCAAUUCAGUUCAAUCUUUCAGUCAUGUCUGACUCUUUGCAACCCCAUGGACUGCAGCAUGCCAGGCCUCCCUGUCCAUCACCAACUCCUGGAGCUUGCUCAAACUCAUGUCCAUCAAGUCAGUGAUGCCAUCCAACCAUCUUAUCCUCUGUCAUCCCCGUCUCCUCCUGCCUUCAAUCUUUCCCAGCAUCAGGGUCUUUUCUAAUGAGUCAGCUCUUCACAUCAGGUAGCCAAAGUAUUGGAGCUUCAGCUUCAGCAUCAGUCCUUCCAAUGAAUAUUCAGGACUGAUUUCCUUUAGGAUGGACUGGUUGGAUCUCCUUGCUGUCCAAGGGACUCUCAAAGAGUCUUCUCCAACACCACAGUUCAAAAGCAUCAAUUCUCUGGCACUCUUAUAAGAAAUGAUUAUUUGGUCUUCACCCUCCUUCCUAGUACAGAGCUCCAAAAACCCAUGGAAUUUCCUAAGUGAUGAUGGUACUGCCCUGGGUUCCAAGAUUCUAGUCGAUAAAAAUUGCUGAGAGGCCAGAUGAGGAAUUCAGGUGGGGCUUUACGGGGACUCAUGCUGCAGCAGGAGGGAGUGAAGACAAGUAACAAGUUCCCUCGUUCACUCCCCAAAGGGGAUGAGCUGGUCUCUUAAAUAGGAUGAGGAUGGGGGCAGACGGGUGGGUCAGGAAGGAGGGGGUGGCUUGGAUGGGCAGUGCACCCCUUGGGGGUGCUGCCUGCAGGGGUCACGCACAGGACACUCCUGUUUUCUCCCAGCUACGGAAGCAGCAGCUGGACUUUGGCCUUUGUGUAUUGUGUCCGUCGUUUGCCCCAGUUGUGCAAGUCACAGUUGCUUUUAGCCCCUUCUAGUUUCUUCACAUCCUGUUGCCCUAGGAGACAUUGGUCCGAGUGCAAGCCCUCCAGGAGGGGGACAAAGGGUUCCUGGUCCCAGGUCCCAGCCUCUCUCAGUGACAUGAAUACAGAGGUCUUUUACUAUGAUACAAAGCAGACUUUGGGCAGGCUCUAGGCCACCUAUGGUGGAGGGUGAUUGCCAGGGCAUGAGAUUGGAGCGUUAGAACUUUCAGUCCCAACCUCAGACCUCCAGAAGGGGGAGUGCAAUCACCAGUGACCAGUGAUGUCAUGCUACAGAAUGAGUCCUCCAUAAAACCCAAAGGGACCAGGUUCAAAGUGCCUCUGGGUUGGUGAACAGGUGCAGAUUCAGAGUGACUGGUGCCCCUCCACAGGGCAUGAAUGCUUUGUACCCUUCCCCCACACCUCGCCCUCUGCAAUUCUUUCUUCCAGCGGCUAUUCCUAAACUGCAUCCUUUCAUAAUAAACAGGUAACCUAGUAAGUACGGUGUUUCUCUGAGUUCUGUGAGCUCAUCUAGCAGAUUAAUCCAACCCUAGGAGGGAGUUCUUGGACCCUUCGACAUAGCUGGUCAGUCAGUGAGAAGCACAGAUGAUAACCUGCAGUUGUGAUGGGCAUCUGUACUGGGGAUGGGGAAGUAAGGUGCCCUCUGGUGGUACUGAGCCCCUAACCCAUAGGAUCUGAUGCUGGGUGUGUGCUGUGCUAUCGUAUCUGACUCUUUACUACCCCAUGGACUGUAGCCCACCAGGCUCCUCUGUCCGUUGGAUUCUCCAGGCAGAAAUACUGGAGUGGGUUGCAAUGCUUUCCUCCAGGGGAUCUUCCUGACCCAGGAAUUGAACCUGAGUCUCUUAUAUCUCUUGUAUUGGCAGGCGAGUUCUUUACCACUAGUGCCACUUGGGUCUGAUGCUACCUCCAAGUAAAGAGUGUCAGAACUGAGCUGAAGCAGAAGGGCUGCUGUCUAUGGGGUCACACAGAGUCGGACAUGACUGAAGUGACUUAGCAGCAGCAGCAGCAGCAGGACAUCACGCUGAUAUGGGAAAAUUGCUUGCUGGGGUGGAAAAAACUCACACAUGGGAAUUGAGGGUAGAAUCAGACAAGGACAAGCCGAGAUGGCCCGGAUUAAAAUAAUAAAUCACUUUUUUGUUCAUUUCCCCAGAUCCUCCAGGAAUGAGUUUGCCCAGAGAACUUUUGUUUUUAUUAUUAUAUGUAUAUUUUCUAGAUAAAGUGAAUUCCCAGAACACGAGUUGUACUCACAUUCGUAAUCAAAUUUGUAAACAAUUCAAAACCCAAAUCUGGUGUGUUUUUUUUUUUCCAAAUUAACUGAGGCUUUUAGGAUACCAUUGAAUCUCUUCUCAUCUUUUCAUGUGAAUUGUCAAGAACUGGCUGUUCUCAUUAAAGUAUAAGAAUGCCCGUUGGUUUUAAAAUCCUUCAGAAGCUAUGUGGAAAAUAAAAUUGAGUAAGAACUCAAUUCUAUUAAAAAUAUGCACUCCUGGAAAUAUGCAUGAAAUGAACUAGCAGUUGCCUCUGGGCCACUGUAAUUAUGGGUAAUUUUUAUUUUCUUCAUUUUGCUGUGUUCUGUUUCUCAAAUAUUCUCCAAAUGCUUAUUUGUCUUAGAAUCAUGGGGGGAGCAUGUGGUUAAAAAGCCUUUCUCAUCUUUCAAACCCAACUCAAUGGCAUCUGAGUUGAACUUGCUAUGUGGGCUUUCUGUGGAAUUUCCCAUUCUUUGCCACUGACUGGAACAGCAGACGCCAGCAGAGACUUGACGCUGGGUUAUGCACCCCAGACAUGGCUGCCUGUGUCCCGGCCACAAGGCUAGACAACCUGGGCUGCCUUCUGAGUCCCCUUCACUGUCCUCAAGCCCCUGGAUCUGAUCCCUGUCCUGGGGGCUAGAGCCCAGGGUUGGCCUGACUAGUCCAGUGUGGGCAAAAAUAAUGAGGCCAUAUCCUUCCUGAAGAAGUGAGUAAAGUGAAAGUAAAGUCAUUCAGUCGUGUCCAACUCUUUGCAACCCCAUGGACUGUAGCCUACGAAGCUCCUCUGUCCAUGGAAUUUUCCAGGCAAGAGUACUGGAGUGAGUUGCCAUUUCCUUCUCCAGAGGAUCUUCCCCACCCAGGGAUCGAACCCAGGUCUCCCACAUUGCAAGAAGACACCUUUACCAUCUGAGCCACCAGGGAAGCUCAGGAAGUGAGUAUUUACAACUGAAGAUUAAAUGCAAUGAAAUGUCUGAGAAAAUGCCCCAUGUCCAAGAAGGGCCAGUCUGAGUCUGGAGGGUAUGGGGUGGGCAUUGGAGCUGGGGUUGUAGAACUCUUGACUCCAAGGGCUGGGAAAGGCAGGCCUGGCCUGAGGCAU